Molecule: ribosomal RNA, 245 nt
Filed under: uncultured Cystobacter sp.
Lineage: Bacteria; Pseudomonadati; Myxococcota; Myxococcia; Myxococcales; Archangiaceae
Description: partial 16S ribosomal RNA
Rfam family: Bacterial small subunit ribosomal RNA
Source: RNAcentral
UACGUAGGGUGCAAGCGUUGUUCGGAAUCAUUGGGCGUAAAGCGCGUGUAGGUGGCCUACCAAGUCGAUUGUGAAAGCCCUCGGCUCAACCGGGGAAGUGCAGUCGAAACUGGUAGGCUCGAGAACGGUAGAGGAAGGUGGAAUUCCUAGUGUAGAGGUGAAAUUCGUAGAUAUUAGGAGGAAUACCUGUGGCGAAGGCGGCCUUCUGGGCCGUUUCUGACACUGAGACGCGAAAGCGUGGGUAG